GCCCUGGUUGACAAUGGUGGCCAGCCGGUGAGGGAUGAGUCCACCGGAAAUUCAGCUACCCCGCUGGAGUUCGGUGCUGGACAUAUGAAUCUCGGCCGAGCUAUGGAUCCUGGGCUAGUGUAUGACCUUGGAGAUACUGAUUAUGUCAACUUCCUGUGUUCUCUAGGGUAUGAGGCUGAUACAAUUCAGGUUAUCACGCACACACCGGUAAGCUGCCCGGCGAGGAAGCUGGCCACCGAUAACCUGAACUACCCUUCGAUAUCGAUGGCAUUCGAUGGGACGGGGAAUGCAAGCAGGGCGGUAGUGAGGACGGUAACGAAUGUGGGGACGGCAGCGGCGGUGUACCGAGUGAGAGUGCAGGUGGUCGGGAAAGGGGUGGCAGUGGCGGUGAAGCCGAGGAAGCUGGUGUUUGCGGCGGGUGUGGCGCGGCGGAGCUAUGCGGUGAUGAUAACGGCUUCGGAGGGUGGAGAAGGGUACGGUUACCUUACUUGGUCGGAUGGGAGCCACGAGGUGAGGAGCUCGAUCGUGGUGUCGAGGAUCCAGCCUUUGUGAGGUUGUUGGGCAACCGGAGUCGGGUGAGAGUCCGGUAGUGUACGGAGAAAAAUAGCUGCUAGGGGGAGUGAAGUGUGUGAUAGUGGGUUUAUUUAGUGUUGGG
This 655-nucleotide unclassified non-coding RNA is filed under the name Hevea brasiliensis (rubber tree). The record is from RNAcentral. Lineage: Eukaryota; Viridiplantae; Streptophyta; Magnoliopsida; Malpighiales; Euphorbiaceae.